Molecule: ribosomal RNA, 433 nt
Filed under: uncultured bacterium
Lineage: Bacteria
Description: bacterial SSU rRNA
Rfam family: Bacterial small subunit ribosomal RNA
Source: RNAcentral
AACGAACGCUGGCGGCAGGCUUAACACAUGCAAGUCGAACGGUCUCUUCGGAGGCAGUGGCAGACGGGUGAGUAACGCGUGGGAACAUACCUUUCGGUACGGAACAACAGUUGGAAACGACUGCUAAUACCGUAUACGCCCUGAGGGGGAAAGAUUUAUCGCCGAGAGAUUGGCCCGCGUUGGAUUAGCUAGUUGGUGGGGUAAUGGCCUACCAAGGCGACGAUCCAUAGCUGGUCUGAGAGGAUGAUCAGCCACACUGGGACUGAGACACGGCCCAGACUCCUACGGGAGGCAGCAGUGGGGAAUAUUGGACAAUGGGCGCAAGCCUGAUCCAGCCAUGCCGCGUGAGUGAUGAAGGCCUUAGGGUUGUAAAGCUCUUUCGCCGGUGAAGAUAAUGACGGUAACCGGUAAAGAAGCCCCGGCUAACUUCGUG